AGUGAACGCUGGCGGCGUGCCUAAUACAUGCAAGUCGAACGGAGUGGCGCACGGGUGAGUAAUAUGUAGCUAAUCUGCCCCUUGCUGGAGGACAACAGUUAGAAAUGGCUGCUAAUACUCCAUAGCAAGGGAUGAGACUAUAUCGUAUCAGCUAGUCGGUGGGGUAACGGCCUACCGAGGCUAUGACGCGUAACUGGUCUGAGAGGAUGAUCAGACAAAGUCGAAGUGAGACACGGGACAAACUCCUACGGCAGGAAGCAGGAGUGAAUAAUGCGCAAUGGGGGAAACCCUGAGGGAGCAACGGGGCGUGGAGGAUGUCACUUUUCGGAGAGUAAACUCCUUUUGUUAGGGAGGCGGUACCUAAAGAAUAAGCACCGGCUAACUCCGUGCCAGCAGCCGCGGUAAUAC
Molecule: ribosomal RNA, 408 nt
Filed under: uncultured bacterium
Lineage: Bacteria
Description: partial 16S ribosomal RNA
Rfam family: Bacterial small subunit ribosomal RNA
Source: RNAcentral